AAUCAGGAUUCAAGCGAAGGCGUCUGACUACAGCCUUUGCUCCAAAGCAGUAUGCUGCACUAAAACAAACAAACAAACAAACAAAAAACAAAGAAGAAGGGCAUUUCAGGACAAGAAAACAGCACCUUGAAAGGCCCAGAAGCCUGAAUGAACACAGAGCCUGCGAGUUAUAACUCAGGGUUCAGAGGCUGCGCUGUGUUUUGAAAGAGCAGCGGUCUCUCCCACAGAUCCAGGAAGUCAGCUACCCCAACCUGGGAAGGGCGUUUCCACCACCAAGAGAGAUAAAAACCAUUGCUUUAGGUCUGUGUACUUUUGAGGACAAAUGUAUACUUCUGUUCCAGAACGUAUAGUUUUGAGCACAAAUACUAAACCUUUUCCUCCUGCUGCUUCUGAACAUUCCUCUUGUCUAAAACACUCUCACCGUUUGGCUUCCCCUCCUCCUCGGAGCCGCCCUCUGGGACAGGUUUCAGAGGAGGGAAAGCAGACACUGUCUCAGGACACCUGUGCACAGCUGUACAGUGUGGUGGGAAGGGCACCGGCCUGGACACCAAGGAAGUGAUCCAGCUUCUAAUUCCAGCCCCCCGGGGGACCUUUCGGCAUGUCACAUGUUCACCCACGGCUUUAGUGUCCCCGUGUGAAAGACACGGACCAGGAAUGCUAUCAAGUUCGUGCUGUCCCUGUUCCUCAAAUGAGGACACGAAGGCAUGGAGAUGGGAAAGUAUAGUGACAGUGGACUCCUCCUAGGCUGUGUCAGAGGAAGAAAGAGGGGAUAUUGAGGAUAAUUCAUGUUUAAUUUCUCUUGACAAAAAAAAAUUAAUACUUGGUGACUGAAAAUCUAUCCACGCACGUACAAAUUCAGACUGAGUCCGUCUAGGGAAGAGAAAUAGCUCCUUAGUACAAAUGAGAUUUUUCUUUCUAUAAAACCAAAUAAUAUGGGGCCAGCUCAGUGGCGCAGCAGUUAAGUUCGCACACUCUGCUUCAGCGACCUGGAGUUCCCGGGUUCAGAUCCUGGGUGCGCACAUGGCACCUCUUGGCAAGCCAUGCUGUGGAGGGGGCCCCACAUAUAAAGUAGAGGAAGAUGGGCACGGAUGUUAGCUCAGGGCCAGUCUUCCUCAGCAAAAAGAGAGGAUUGGCAGCAGAUGUUAGCUCAGGGCUAAUCUUCCUCAAAAACAAACAAACAAA
This 1182-nucleotide long non-coding RNA is filed under the name Equus asinus (donkey). RNAcentral's name for it is "lncRNA (ENSEASG00005024661.1)". Lineage: Eukaryota; Metazoa; Chordata; Mammalia; Perissodactyla; Equidae. The record is from RNAcentral.